This 445-nucleotide ribosomal RNA is filed under the name uncultured bacterium. Its description in RNAcentral is "bacterial SSU rRNA". It matches the Rfam family "Bacterial small subunit ribosomal RNA", at positions 354 to 796 of the family's 1533-position model. The record is from RNAcentral.
GUAGGGAAUAUUGGGCAAUGGAAGAGAUUCUGACCCAGCCAUGCCGCGUGCAGGAUGAAGGCUUUCUGAGUCGUAAACUGCUUUUGCCAGGGAAGAAUAAGGCCCAUGCGUGGGUCGACGACGGUACCUGGUGAAUAAGCACCGGCUAACUCCGUGCCAGCAGCCGCGGUAAUACGGAGGGUGCAAGCGUUGUCCGGAUUUAUUGGGUUUAAAGGGUGCGUAGGCGGCCGAUUAAGUCUGGGGUGAAAGCCCGUUGCUCAACAACGGAACUGCCCUGGAAACUGGUUGGCUUGAGUACAGACGAGGUUGGCGGAAUGGAUGCUGUAGCGGUGAAAUGCAUAGAUAGCAUCCAGAACCCCGAUUGCGAAGGCAGCUGACUAGGCUGUAACUGACGCUGAGGCACGAAAGCGUGGGGAGCGAACAGGAUUAGAUACCCGAGUAGUCC